GCAACCAUAUAACUUCGGUUCCCCUAAAAUCACAGAAGUUAAGGAACAUCGAGCCUGGUCAGUACUUAGAGGAGUGACCGCUUGGGAAUACCAGGUGCUGUAAG
Molecule: non-coding RNA, 104 nt
Organism: Acanthosepion pharaonis
Lineage: Eukaryota; Metazoa; Mollusca; Cephalopoda; Sepiida; Sepiidae
Source: the annotation of a GenBank genome assembly